This 113-nucleotide ribosomal RNA is filed under the name Stolotermes victoriensis. The record is from RNAcentral. Lineage: Eukaryota; Metazoa; Arthropoda; Insecta; Blattodea; Termopsidae.
AACGGCCAUACCAUGUUGAAAACAACGGUUCUCGUCCUAUCACCGAAGUUAAGCAACAUUGGUCGUGGUUAGUACUUGGAUGGGUGACCGCUUGGGAACACCACGUGCUGUUG